This 71-nucleotide transfer RNA is filed under the name Rana kunyuensis. RNAcentral describes it as "tRNA-Ser". It matches the Rfam family "tRNA". Rfam says of the family: Transfer RNA (tRNA) molecules are approximately 80 nucleotides in length. RNAcentral also lists the same sequence under 1 other name. The record is from RNAcentral. Lineage: Eukaryota; Metazoa; Chordata; Amphibia; Anura; Ranidae.
AAGAAAGUGUCAGAGAGGCCAUGUACCUGGCUUGAAACUAGGAUAUGGGGGUUCAAUUCCCUCCUUUCUUG